AAUGAACGCUGGCGGCAUGCCUAAUACAUGCAAGUCGAACGAAGGCUUCGGCCUUAGUGGCGCACGGGUGCGUAACGCGUGGGAAUCUGCCCUUGGGUUCGGAAUAACAGUGAGAAAUUACUGCUAAUACCGGAUGAUGUCGAAAGACCAAAGAUUUAUCGCCCGAGGAUGAGCCCGCGUAGGAUUAGCUAGUUGGUGUG
RNAcentral lists this ribosomal RNA (200 nucleotides) under uncultured bacterium. RNAcentral's name for it is "partial 16S ribosomal RNA". It matches the Rfam family "Bacterial small subunit ribosomal RNA", at positions 29 to 256 of the family's 1533-position model. The record is from RNAcentral.